UGCCACUCUGAAAUACAAUGUUGCUGUAAAAUGUGCUACCAUAACUCCUGAUGAGACCAGAGUUAAAGAAUUUAGCCUGAAGUCUAUGUGGAGGAGUCCAAAUGGCACAAUUAGAAACAUCUUAAAUGGCACUGUUUUUCGUGAACCUAUUCUCUGCCAGAACAUUCCAAGAAUUGUUCCUGGUUGGAAGAAACCCAUAUGCAUUGGUAGACAUGCCUUUGGUGAUCAAUAUCGUGCCACAGAUACAAUCAUUAGAGGACCAGGAAAGCUUAAAAUGGUUUUUGUCCCAGAGGGUGGUGACACCCCCAUGGAGCUUGAUGUUUAUGAUUUUAAGGGCCCGGGUGUAGCACUUGCUAUGUAUAAUGUUGAUCAGUCCAUUCAAGCUUUUGCCGAGUCAUCAAUGUCAUUGGCAUUUGCAAAAAAGUGGCCUCUUUACUUGAGCACCAAAAACACAAUUCUGAAGAAAUAUGAUGGCAGGUUUAAGGACAUAUUCCAGGAGGUAUAUGAAGAGAAGUGGAAGCAGAAGUUUGAAGAACAUUCGAUAUGGUAUGAGCAUCGGCUAAUUGACGAUAUGGUUGCUUAUGUGGUAAAAAGUGAAGGUGGUUAUGUGUGGGCUUGCAAAAAUUAUGAUGGAGAUGUCCAAAGUGAUUUACUUGCUCAAGGAUUUGGUUCGUUGGGCCUCAUGACCUCUGUGUUGUUAUCAUCUGAUGGAAAGACACUUGAGGCUGAGGCUGCUCAUGGGACUGUUACUCGGCAUUUCCGGUUAUAUCAGAAAGGACAAGAAACCAGCACAAAUAGUAUUGCUUCAAUAUUUGCAUGGACACGAGGGCUAGAACAUAGGGCCAAACUGGAUAAGAAUGAAAGGUUGCUUGAUUUUGUGCGCAAGUUGGAGGCUUCAUGCAUUGAGACUGUAGAAGCAGGAAAAAUGACGAAGGAUCUAGCUAUUUUGAUUCAUGGCCCUAAGGUGUCGAGGGAGUUUUAUUUGAACACGGAAGAAUUUAUUGUUGCUGUUGCACAGAAUCUCGAGGCAAAGCUUCGGGAACCUGCAGUUGUUUAACCACACAUUUAGGGCUUGGGGAGGGGAUUAAAACCAAUUCUCUUAUAGCUGGUCCGGUACUGACUCAGGCGGGUUUCAGUCCAUUCAGGGCCUUAACUGCUGACCCCUGGUUGGGUCUUUCUUGGUAAUGGAG
Molecule: unclassified non-coding RNA, 1190 nt
Filed under: Hevea brasiliensis (rubber tree)
Lineage: Eukaryota; Viridiplantae; Streptophyta; Magnoliopsida; Malpighiales; Euphorbiaceae
Source: RNAcentral